CGAGAUGGGCAAGUGGUUCUACAGAGCCAAACUAACAGAGAGCAACCCCAAGCCCAAACUGUGAAACAUGAUCAUCAUCAAGAAACCCUAAGAUCCCACACCUUUCUUGAGGAUCAAGAAACCGUCUCUUGGUCCAAACUGUGAAACAUGAUCAUCAUCAAGAAACCCUAAGAUCCCAAACAUUUCUUGACGAUCAAGAAACCGUCUCUUGGCUACAAUACCCUCCAUAUGAAGACCAAUUCAUAACCGACGGCUUCUCAUCUCAUUUCUUCUCAACCGGUAAUCCCCUGGAGAGACCAGCCCCA
This 305-nucleotide long non-coding RNA is filed under the name Brassica napus (rape). RNAcentral describes it as "long non-coding RNA (BNAP_LNC003804)". Lineage: Eukaryota; Viridiplantae; Streptophyta; Magnoliopsida; Brassicales; Brassicaceae. The record is from RNAcentral.